Chrysemys picta bellii (western painted turtle) is the source of this 73-nucleotide non-coding RNA. The record is from the annotation of a RefSeq genome assembly. Lineage: Eukaryota; Metazoa; Chordata; Testudines; Emydidae.
GUCCCAGUGGCCUAAUGGCUAAGGCAUUGGCUUCCAAAGCCCAAGAUUGUGGGUUCAAGUCCCAUCUGGGGUG